This 1757-nucleotide ribosomal RNA is filed under the name human gut metagenome. RNAcentral describes it as "bacterial LSU rRNA". It matches the Rfam family "Bacterial large subunit ribosomal RNA", at positions 630 to 2268 of the family's 2925-position model. The record is from RNAcentral.
AGUGGCAUGUGGCGAGCAUAACCCGUGUGGGGUAUGCGUAGCGAAGGCGAGUCUUAAAAGGCGUUUGAGUCGCGUGUCCUGGACCCGAAGCGGGAUGAUCUAGCCCUGGGCAGGUUGAAGCGCGGGUAAGACCGCGUGGAGGACCGAACCCACCUGGGUUGAAAACCGGGGGGAUGACCUGGGGCUAGGGGUGAAAGGCCAAUCAAAUUCCGUGAUAGCUGGUUCUCUCCGAAAUGCAUUUGGGUGCAGCGUCGGGUCAUUACGUCCCGGGGGUAGAGCUACUGGAUGCUUGCGGGCCCGUAUCGGGUACCAACAGCAACCAAACUCCGAAUACCGGUGACGCGUAUCCCGGCAGUGAGUCGGCGGGGGAUAAGCUUCGUCGUCGAAAGGGAAACAGCCCAGACCGUCGUCUAAGGUCCCGAAGCGUGUGCUAAGUGGGAAAGGAUGUGGAGUCGCAUAGACAGCCAGGAGGUUGGCUCAGAAGCAGCCACCCUUGAAAGAGUGCGUAACAGCUCACUGGUCUAGUGGUUCCGCGCCGACAAUGUAGCGGGGCUCAAGCACACCACCGAAGACGCGGCAGUAUUUUGUACUGGGUAGGAGAGCGUCCCAUGAGGGGCGAAGCGGCCGUGUGAACGCGCCGUGGACUUCAUGGGAGUGAGAAUGCAGACAUGAGUAGCGAGAGACGGGUGAAGAUCCCGUCCGCUGGAUGACCAAGGGUUCCAGGGCCACGUUCAUCGUCCCUGGGUGAGUCGGGUCCUAAGGCGAGGCCGACAGGCGUAGUCGAAUGGAUGAACGGGUGGAUAUUCCCGUACCGGCAGCGAACCGACAGGACCGAGGCGGUGAGUACUAACCUCCGUCGCGGGCCGUUCCCCUCCUUCGGGUGGGGUCCGGCGCGUGGCGUUGGGAGCGUAGCCGUGGUAGGUGAGCGCAGGGGUGACACGGAAUGGGAGCCGGCCGCGGAGGUGGUUUUCCGUGGUCAAGCACGCAGCCAGUCGCAUAGGCAAAUCCGUGCGGCGUGUAUGGCGAGGUGCGAUGAUGGGAGCCGUUUCGGCUCGAUAUCCGGUGGUCCAGGCCGUCGAGAAAAGCCCCGGCGUCAGGCGCGUUGCCGCCCGUACCCCAAACCGACACUGGUGGUCAGGUAGAGAAUACCAAGGCGAUCGAGCGAAUCCUGGUCAAGGAACUCGGCAAAUCACUCCCGUUCCUUCGGUUUAAGGGAGACCCCCGAUGGUGAACACACUUGCUGUGGGAGCUUUUGGGGGUGGCACAGACCAGGGGGUAGCGACUGUUUACCAAAAACACAGGUGCAUGCGAAGGCGCAAGCCGCUGUAUAUGCACUGACGCCUGCCCGGUGCCGGAAGGUUAAGAGGAUCCGUCAGCCCCCUUGGGGGUGAAGCGGUGAAUUCAAGCCCCGGUAAACGGCGGUGGUAACUAUAACCAUCCUAAGGUAGCGAAAUUCCUUGUCGGGUAAGUUCCGACCUGCACGAAUGGCGUAACGACUUCCCCACUGUCUCGACCAGGAGCUCGGCGAAAUUGCAGUACGAGUAAAGAUGCUCGUUAAGCGCAGAAGGACGAAAAGACCCCGGGACCUUUACUAUACCUUGGUAUUGGCAUUCGGUGUGGAUUGUGUAGCAUAGGCGGGAGGCCGAGAGGCGCGGUCGCCAGAUCGCGCGGAGCCGUAAGGUGAAAUACCGCUCUGUUCGCAUUGGAUGUCUAACCUCGAACAGUCAUCCUGUUCAGGGACAGUGCCUGGCGGAUUC